Molecule: ribosomal RNA, 497 nt
Filed under: uncultured bacterium
Lineage: Bacteria
Description: partial 16S ribosomal RNA
Rfam family: Bacterial small subunit ribosomal RNA
Source: RNAcentral
GAUGAAUGCUGGCGGCGUGCCUAAUACAUGCAAGUCGAGCGAACAGACGAGGAGCUUGCUCCUCUGACGUUAGCGGCGGACGGGUGAGUAACACGUGGAUAACCUACCUAUAAGACUGGGAUAACUUCGGGAAACCGGAGCUAAUACCGGAUAAUAUAUUGAACCGCAUGGUUCAAUAGUGAAAGACGGUUUUGCUGUCACUUAUAGAUGGAUCCGCGCCGCAUUAGCUAGUUGGUAAGGUAACGGCUUACCAAGGCAACGAUGCGUAGCCGACCUGAGAGGGUGAUCGGCCACACUGGAACUGAGACACGGUCCAGACUCCUACGGGAGGCAGCAGUAGGGAAUCUUCCGCAAUGGGCGAAAGCCUGACGGAGCAACGCCGCGUGAGUGAUGAAGGUCUUCGGGUCGUAAAACUCUGUUAUUAGGGAAGAACAAAUGUGUAAGUAACUAUGCACGUCUUGACGGUACCUAAUCAGAAAGCCACGGCUAACUACGUG